RNAcentral lists this ribosomal RNA (427 nucleotides) under uncultured Alphaproteobacteria bacterium. RNAcentral's name for it is "bacterial SSU rRNA". It matches the Rfam family "Bacterial small subunit ribosomal RNA", at positions 958 to 1385 of the family's 1533-position model. Lineage: Bacteria; Pseudomonadati; Pseudomonadota; Alphaproteobacteria. The record is from RNAcentral.
AACGCGAAGAACCUUACCAGGGCUUGACAUGGGGAGGACGCAGCCAGAGAUGGCUGUUCCCGCAAGGGCCUCCCACACAGGUGCUGCAUGGCUGUCGUCAGCUCGUGUCGUGAGAUGUUGGGUUAAGUCCCGCAACGAGCGCAACCCUCGCCUUCAGUUGCCAGCAGGUUUGGCUGGGCACUCUGAAGGAACUGCCGGUGACAAGCCGGAGGAAGGUGGGGAUGACGUCAAGUCCUCAUGGCCCUUAUGUCCUGGGCUACACACGUGCUACAAUGGCGGUGACAGCGGGAUGCCAGGUCGCAAGGCCGAGCCGAUCCCAAAAAGCCGUCUCAGUUCAGAUUGCACUCUGCAACUCGGGUGCAUGAAGGUGGAAUCGCUAGUAAUCGCGGAUCAGCACGCCGCGGUGAAUACGUUCCCGGGCCUUGUA